GCUUACGACCACACCGGCCUGAGUACGCCUGAUCUCGUCUGAUCUCGAAGCUAAGCAGGUCGGGCCUGGUUAGUACUUGGAUGGGAGACCGCCUGGGAAUACCAGGUGCUGUAAGCU
RNAcentral lists this ribosomal RNA (117 nucleotides) under Oncorhynchus kisutch (coho salmon). Lineage: Eukaryota; Metazoa; Chordata; Actinopteri; Salmoniformes; Salmonidae. The record is from RNAcentral.